This 229-nucleotide ribosomal RNA is filed under the name uncultured bacterium. RNAcentral describes it as "partial 16S ribosomal RNA". It matches the Rfam family "Bacterial small subunit ribosomal RNA", at positions 104 to 334 of the family's 1533-position model. The record is from RNAcentral.
CGGGGUGAGUAAUGUCUGGGAAACUGCCUGAUGGAGGGGGAUAACUACUGGAAACGGUAGCUAAUACCGCAUAACGUCGCAAGACCAAAGAGGGGGACCUUCGGGCCUCUUGCCAUCGGAUGUGCCCAGAUGGGAUUAGCUAGUAGGUGGGAUAACGGCUCACCUAGGCGACGAUCCCUAGCUGGUCUGAGAGGAUGACCAGCCACACUGGAACUGAGACACGGUCCAG